CUCACCUACAUCCAGGAAGUGUUGAGCUCCCCGUGGAUACCUGUCUGCGCCUGUUGUGUUCAAUAAACGUACCACAGCAGAUCGCCGGUUGAAAAAGCGGAUGCUGCUGUCACUUCCUCCUGGUCUCCAUCCUCCUCCUUGUGUGUGCAAGUUGAUUGCGUGCACUUGACUGUACCUGUCGAGCGUGCGCAUGUAUGUGUGUGAAUUCAGUCUAGGCCUGUGUAUGUGUGUAGCUGUUAGGUAGUGUAUGUGUGUGUGUGUGUGUGUAUGUGUGUGUCCACCAUGUCCGUACAUCCUUUGACAUUUCACCUGAGUCCUUUGGUGUGUCUUCACCUCCUCUGCCUGCUGCUGCUCCUCACUGACUCCUCCUCCUCCAGAGUAUCAAAAGAUGUCCCAGUUCCAGCUGCAGGUGGUAAUGAUGGUGUCAGUCAAAAUGCAACAGCCAAGGAUUCCUCAGGGUCCAUAUCCAGUGAUCUGCAAGUGGUCAGACCACAUGAGAAUGUGUCCUUUGUCUCAGACCCUAACAACACCAGUCAAACCGUCAAUGCGACUAGGGACCAGCCCUCUCCCAACUCAUCUUCAUCUGACACCAACACCUCUGCCAACCACAAAUUAAAAGCCACCAUAUCAUCCUUAAUCCCACCAGACUAUCCUCUUCCUCCUACCAUCACAGGCUCACCCACUCCAGCUCACACUGGAGCCAUCACAAGCACUGGUACUAAUACAUCAACCACUGCCAGGCCUGAUGGGAAUGUACUCACAGCCAUUGUAGUGGUGACCUCUAUAACCACAACAACAACCACAACAGCACCAUCAUCUACAACAACCACAACAGCACCAUCAUCUACAACAACCACA
Long non-coding RNA from Seriola dumerili (greater amberjack), 858 nucleotides. RefSeq lists it as uncharacterized. The record is from RefSeq and is a predicted model, not a curated record. NCBI's taxonomy places the organism in Eukaryota, Metazoa, Chordata, Actinopteri, Carangiformes, Carangidae. The transcript is spliced from 3 exons.